Molecule: ribosomal RNA, 253 nt
Filed under: uncultured microorganism
Description: partial 16S ribosomal RNA
Rfam family: Bacterial small subunit ribosomal RNA
Source: RNAcentral
GACAGAGGUGGCGAGCGUUGCUCGGAUUUACUGGGCUUAAAGGGCGCGUAGGUGGCCUUGUAAGUCAAAGGUGGAAUUCCACAGCUCAACUGUGGAACUGCCUUUGAUACUGCAAGGCUUGAGUCAGGUAGAGGAGGGCGGAAUUCCCGGUGUAGCGGUGAAAUGCGUAGAUAUCGGGAGGAAGGCCGGUGGCGAAGGCGGCCCUCUGGGCCUGUACUGACACUGAGGCACGAAAGCGUGGGGAGCAAACAGG